AUUGAACGCUGGCGGCAUGCCUUACACAUGCAGGUCGAACGGUAACAGGUCUUCGGACGCUGACGGGUGGCGAACGGGUGAGUAAUACAUCGGAACGUGCCCAGUCGUGGGGGAUAACUACUCGAAAGAGUAGCUAAUACCGCAUACGAUCUGAGGAUGAAAGCGGGGGACCUUCGGGCCUCGCGCGAUUGGAGCGGCCGAUGGCAGAUUAGGUAGUUGGUGGGAUAAAAGCUUACCAAGCCGACGAUCUGUAGCUGGUCUGAGAGGACGACCAGCCACACGGGGACUGAGACACGGCCCAGACUCCUACGGGAGGCAGCAGUGGGGAAUUUUGGACAAUGGGCGAAAGCCUGAUCCAGCAAUGCCGCGUGCAGGAUGAAGGCCUUCGGGUUGUAAGCUGCUUUUGUACGGAACGAAAAAGCUCCUUCUAAUACAGGGGGCCCAUGACGGUACCGUAAGAAUAAGCACCGGCUAACUACGUGCCAGCCGCCGCGGUAA
RNAcentral lists this ribosomal RNA (498 nucleotides) under uncultured bacterium. RNAcentral describes it as "partial 16S ribosomal RNA". It matches the Rfam family "Bacterial small subunit ribosomal RNA", at positions 30 to 523 of the family's 1533-position model. The record is from RNAcentral.